RNAcentral lists this ribosomal RNA (508 nucleotides) under uncultured bacterium. RNAcentral describes it as "partial 16S ribosomal RNA". It matches the Rfam family "Bacterial small subunit ribosomal RNA", at positions 30 to 523 of the family's 1533-position model. The record is from RNAcentral.
AUUGAACGCUGGCGGCAUGCCUAACACAUGCAAGUCGAACGGCAGCAUGAAAUGGGGUAACCCAUUUUGAUGGCGAGUGGCGGACGGGUGAGUAAUAUGUAGGAAUCUACCUAGAGGUGCGGGAUAACUUAGGGAAACUUAAGCUAAUACCACAUAAGCCCUACGGGGGAAAGCAGGGGACCGCAAGGCCUUGCGCCUUACGAUGAGCCUACAUCGGAUUAGCUUGUUGGUGGGGUAAAGGCCUAACAAGGCGACGAUCCGUAGCUGGUCUGAGAGGAUGAUCAGCCACACUGGGACUGAGACACGGCCCAGACUCCCACGGGAGGCAGCAGUGGGGAAUAUUGGACAAUGGGCGCAAGCCUGAUCCAGCAAUGCCGCGUGUGUGAAGAAGGCCUUAGGGUUGUAAAGCACUUUCAGUGGGGAGGAAGUUGAGUUUGCUAAUACCAGAUUCAAUUGAUGUUACCCACAGAAGAAGCACCGGCUAACUCUGUGCCAGCAGCCGCAGUAA